CCGAACCGACUAAUGUUGAAAAAUUAGCGGAUGACCUGUGGCUGGGGGUGAAAGGCCAAUCAAACCGGGAGAUAGCUGGUUCUCCCCGAAAGCUAUUUAGGUAGCGCCUCGUGAAUUCAUCUCCGGGGGUAGAGCACUGUUUCGGCUAGGGGGCCAUCCCGGCUUACCAACCCGAUGCAAACUGCGAAUACCGGAGAAUGUUAUCACGGGAGACACACGGCGGGUGCUAACGUCCGUCGUGAAGAGGGAAACAACCCAGACCGCCAGCUAAGGUCCCAAAGUCAUGGUUAAGUGGGAAACGAUGUGGGAAGGCCCAGACAGCCAGGAUGUUGGCUUAGAAGCAGCCAUCAUUUAAAGAAAGCGUAAUAGCUCACUGGUCGAGUCGGCCUGCGCGGAAGAUGUAACGGGGCUAAACCAUGCACCGAAGCUGCGGCAGCGACACUGUGUGUUGUUGGGUAGGGGAGCGUUCUGUAAGCCUG
Molecule: ribosomal RNA, 479 nt
Filed under: Salmonella enterica
Lineage: Bacteria; Pseudomonadati; Pseudomonadota; Gammaproteobacteria; Enterobacterales; Enterobacteriaceae
Also listed under: 1 other name
Description: partial 23S ribosomal RNA
Rfam family: Bacterial large subunit ribosomal RNA
Source: RNAcentral